ACCAGAGUAGCAAUUGGAGGGCAAGUCUGGUGCCAGCAGCCGCGGUAAUUCCAGCUCCAAUAGCGUAUAUUAAACUUGUUGCAGUUAAAAAGCUCGUAGUUGUAUUUUUGCGUURACGGUUUGACCAUUUGGUUGGUUAUUUCGUUUUCGCUUUUGGGAAUUUCCCUUUUUACUUUGAGAAAAUUAGAGUGUUUCAAGCAGACUUUUGUCUUGAAUACUUCAGCAUGGAAUAAUAGAGUAGGACUUUGGUUCUAUUUUGUUGGUUAUUGAACCUUAGUAAUGGUUAAUAGGAACGGUUGGGGGCAUAA
Molecule: ribosomal RNA, 308 nt
Filed under: Babesia canis canis
Lineage: Eukaryota; Apicomplexa; Aconoidasida; Piroplasmida; Babesiidae
Description: SSU rRNA
Source: RNAcentral